CCUGCCGUCCUGGCCAACACAAUCGAGCAAGGCAGUGAAGCAAAAAUCAUUAGGUGGCUGGACUCAGACACAUCAUGCUCCAGUUUGGGUUGCAAGGUGCUUCUCUCUGGGUUUUCACCUGCCUUGCCAAAAAUGAUUGAUUACACUGGGCCAACUGGGUGUCCGGCAAUACCCAACAAAUGACUUUGGCCCCUAACAGCAGGCCUUGGCCAGAUAGAAAUCAAUAUUUCACCAUUAAAAUCUAUCAAAGAAGAGUUAAGGCACCAUCUGUCCCUGCCGCCUCUCUAUGGUGUGUGAACAUUAAAUCCGACACUUGUACUACAUGGGUAAUCAAUAUAUAGUGGUUCACAGAUCAUUUGUGGUCCCCCUUUUAGCAGUGAUGGAUGUCUGGAAUCGUUGUGAUUCAUUUUGUCAGACCAUUAAACAAGAUUCUGUCCAGUUCCUUCCUGAUUUCA
This is a long non-coding RNA of Ochotona princeps (American pika), 455 nucleotides long. RefSeq lists it as uncharacterized. The transcript has 2 exons. NCBI's taxonomy places the organism in Eukaryota, Metazoa, Chordata, Mammalia, Lagomorpha, Ochotonidae. The record is from RefSeq and is a predicted model, not a curated record.